AGAGUUUAAUAAAACUCCUAAACCCCUGUGAACUUACUGGUGUUUGGCUCGCCAGAUAUAGUCUGGUCCGUAAGCAAAUCGACUGCCUGCCUGUGUAACAGGCAGGUAAGCUUUUGUCGCGGGGUCCCGGAUCAACCCGGGCUAGAUAGCCACUUAACUAUAUACUUUUUAUAAAAUCUGUGAACUUACUAGGUUGGAUUCUCGCCAGAGAUAGUCUGGUUUCUGCUUCGCGGAUCGCCUACCCGUGACACCUGUCACAGGCAGGUAUGCUUCUGCCGCGGGUCCGUAAGUAAAUCAUCUGUUUCGCAAGGGACGGCGAUUUACCUGUGGAAGAGGUCCGCUAACUAUAUUCUUAGUAUAGUUUGUUCACUAGAUCAAACAUUCUGAAUAAAAACUUAAACUAGUUAAAACUUUCAACAACGGAUCUCUUGGUUCUGGCAUCGAUGAAGAACGCAGCGAAAUGCGAUAAGUAAUGUGAAUUGCAGAAUUCAGUGAAUCAUCGAAUCUUUGAACGCACAUUGCGCCCAUUAGUAUUCUAGUGGGCAUGCCUGUUCGAGCGUCAUUUCAACCCUUAAGCCCCUGUUGCUUAGCGUUGGGAGCCUACAGCCUGCUGUAGCUCCUUAAAGGUAGUGGCGGAGUCGGUUCACACUCUAGACGUAGUAAAAUCUUUAUCUCGCCUAUGGAUGAGCCGGCGCCUUGCCGUAAAACCCCUAAUCUUUCACAAGGUUGACCUCGGAUCAGGUAGGAAUACCCGCUGAACUUAAGCAUAUCAAUAAGCGGAGGAAAAGAAACCAACAGGGAUUGCCCUAGUAACGGCGAGUGAAGCGGCAACAGCUCAAAUUUGAAAUCUGGCCUUCGGGUCCGAGUUGUAAUUUGCAGAGGAUGCUUUGGGCGCGGUGCCUUCCGAGUUCCCUGGAACGGGACGCCUUAGAGGGUGAGAGCCCCGUACGGUUGGACACCAAGCCUCUGUAAAGCUCCUUCGACGAGUCGAGUAGUUUGGGAAUGCUGCUCUAAAUGGGAGGUAAAUUUCUUCUAAAGCUAAAUAUUGGCCAGAGACCGAUAGCGCACAAGUAGAGUGAUCGAAAGAUGAAAAGCACUUUGAAAAGAGGGUUAAAUAGCACGUGAAAUUGUUGAAAGGGAAGCGUUUGCGACCAGACCUUUUCCCAGCGGAUCAUCCGGUGUUCUCACCGGUGCACUUCGCUGGGUUGAGGCCAGCAUCGGUUUCCGCAGGGGGAUAAAAGCCUGGGGAACGUAGCUCCCUCGGGAGUGUUAUAGCCCCUCGCAUAAUACC
RNAcentral lists this ribosomal RNA (1291 nucleotides) under Xylaria sp. genotype 315. Its description in RNAcentral is "eukaryotic LSU rRNA". The stretch from base 728 to 1291 matches the Rfam family "Eukaryotic large subunit ribosomal RNA", at positions 1 to 575 of the family's 3401-position model. The record is from RNAcentral. Lineage: Eukaryota; Fungi; Ascomycota; Sordariomycetes; Xylariales; Xylariaceae.